AGUGGCGGACGGGUGAGUAACGCGUGAGAAUCUGCCUUGGGGUCGGGGACAACCACUGGAAACGGUGGCUAAUACCGGAUAAGCCGAUUGGUGAAAGAUUUAUUGCCCGAAGAGGAGCUCGCGUUUGAUUAGCUAGUUGGUGAGGUAAGAGCUCACCAAGGCAGCGAUCAGUAGCUGGUCUGAGAGGACGAUCAGCCACACUGGGACUGAGACACGGCCCAGACUCCUACGGGAGGCAGCAGUGGGGAAUUUUCCGCAAUGGGCGAAAGCCUGACGGAGCAAGACCGCGUGAGGGAGGAAGGCUCUUGGGUUGUAAACCUCUUUUCUCUGGGAAGAAGCUCUGACGGUACCUGAGGAAUCAGCCUCGGCUAACUCCGUGCCAGCAGCCGCGGUAAUACGGAGGAGGCAAGCGUUAUCCGGAAUUAUUGGGCGUAAAGCGUCCGCAGGUGGCGAUUCAAGUCUGCUGUCAAAGCACGGGGCUUAACUCCGUAAAGGCAGUGGAAACUGAAUAGCUAGAGUGCCGUAGGGGUAGAGGGAAUUCCCGGUGUAGCGGUGAAAUGCGUAGAGAUCGGGAAGAACAUCGGUGGCGAAAGCGCUCUACUGGACGGCAACUGACACUCAGGGACGAAAGCUAGGGGAGCGAAUGGGAUUAGAUACCCC
This 660-nucleotide ribosomal RNA is filed under the name uncultured bacterium. RNAcentral describes it as "bacterial SSU rRNA". It matches the Rfam family "Bacterial small subunit ribosomal RNA", at positions 94 to 788 of the family's 1533-position model. The record is from RNAcentral.